AUCCUUGUGUGACUCAUAAGCAUGAUUGGGCAUUCACAUGCUGUGUGAAAUGAACCUCCCUUGAAUCUUACUAUGAGGUCAGCACAUCAUCCCGGUGACC
Molecule: small nucleolar RNA, 100 nt
Organism: Sorex araneus (European shrew)
Lineage: Eukaryota; Metazoa; Chordata; Mammalia; Eulipotyphla; Soricidae
Source: Ensembl